RNAcentral lists this ribosomal RNA (436 nucleotides) under uncultured bacterium. RNAcentral's name for it is "bacterial SSU rRNA". It matches the Rfam family "Bacterial small subunit ribosomal RNA", at positions 97 to 520 of the family's 1533-position model. The record is from RNAcentral.
CGCGAACGGGUGAGUAACACGUGGGUAACCUACCCCGAUGACCGGGACAACCCGAGGAAACUCGGGCUAAUACCGGAUGUGCUCCUUGACCGCGAGGUCAAGGCGUAAAGAUAGCUUCGGCCUUCGCAUCGGGACGGGCCCGCGGCCCAUUAGCUUGUUGGUGGGGUAACGGCCUACCAAGGCGACGAUGGGUAGCUGGUCUGAGAGGACGAUCAGCCACACUGGGACUGAGACACGGCCCAGACUCCUACGGGAGGCAGCAGUGGGGAAUCUUGCGCAAUGCGCGAAAGCGUGACGCAGCAACGCCGCGUGGGGGAAGAAGGCCUUCGGGUUGUAAACCCCUUUCAGUUGGGACGAAGCUUCGCCGGUGAAUAGCCGGCUGGAGUGACGGUACCUUCACAAGAAGCCCCGGCUAACUACGUGCCAGCCGCCGCGG